This 66-nucleotide transfer RNA is filed under the name bovine gut metagenome. It matches the Rfam family "tRNA", at positions 5 to 66 of the family's 71-position model. From Rfam's summary of the family: Transfer RNA (tRNA) molecules are approximately 80 nucleotides in length. The record is from RNAcentral.
GGAGUAGCUCAGUUGGAUAGAGCAUCGGAUUGUGGCUCCGAAGGUCGAGGGUUCGAGUCUCUUCUC